UCCCAUCCCGAACACGGAAGUUAAGCUCACUUGCGCCGAAGAUACUUGCCUGGAGACGGGCCGGAAAAAUAGGUAACGCCAACA
This 84-nucleotide ribosomal RNA is filed under the name Clostridiales bacterium. Lineage: Bacteria; Bacillati; Bacillota; Clostridia; Eubacteriales. The record is from RNAcentral.